Lytechinus pictus (painted urchin) is the source of this 306-nucleotide long non-coding RNA. RefSeq lists it as uncharacterized. The transcript has 3 exons. The record is from RefSeq and is a predicted model, not a curated record. Lineage: Eukaryota; Metazoa; Echinodermata; Echinoidea; Temnopleuroida; Toxopneustidae.
GCGACUGACUGCUAAAAAUUUUGUGUCAGUUUAUUUUCUAUUUGGUAUCCAUCAGGAGUUAAAUACAAGUCAUUUUGAGGUGGAAUAGAUAUUUUAGGAUCUUCAGUGUAUAUUUGCUCAUCUCCACGAUCUGGAGGCGCUGCGGUCAUUACGGGAACCUGCCAUCAGAGAGAUAGCGAAAACUGUACGAUAUGAACGUCACGAAGCAAAUGAUAUUCUCUAUUGCCGAGACGACCUGAGUACAUGUUGGUUCAUCCUCCUGUCGGGCUCUGUGUUUAUAGACCAUGCCAUGUACCUACCAAGAAG